CCUUUAAAGGUGUCUAUAUGUCUAUAUAGGCCUAAUGGUGUCUAUAUAUGCCUAAAUUUCAUGGGGAAAUCCUGAUUUGUGUUCAUAGUACGGCCCCCGGAGGAUUUUAUGACCAUGGUAGGAAUUUGAAGUGGCCCUUCGAAUGAAAAAGGUUCCCCACCCCUGCAUUAAACCUUUCUUCUAGCCACAGCUCUGCUGUCAGUACAUUUUAUUAUGAUACUAUAAGCUCAGAAAUGAAGUUGAUCAAACAAUUCGAUCGGUGCUAUAAACAUUUAAAUGAACCGAAUAGAAAUCAGAAUAGAAACAUCUGAAUGAUCUUUCUUGGACAUAGCCUACAUUUUGAAGUGACCCUUGGAAUUAAAAAGGUUCCUCACCCCUGCUUUUGAGGAAAAACAUCAAUGUGCUUGGCCACUCUGGUUUUUAAAUUAUUCUGAACUAGCAAGGAUUGUUCAAGGAAGUUCAAAACAGACUGUCUCUGGUUAAAUUAGUUCUACACCAAGCCUUUAGGUGGCAGUACAACUAAUUCGCACAAUGCGAAUUCCACACACAAGCCACAAAGAAGCCAUCUACCGCGGUCAUCAACAACACCGACCUAUCUGAACAGCACCACGCGCUGUCUGUGUGGUUUCACUGUUACAAGUUUCUUGGCGAUAUGGGGGAAAGUUCCUCACAUACCAACGGAAAAUGGGCUUCACAUACAUGCUGCUGUCUCAUAAUAUGGCGAAGACGAGUCACUUGAAGGCCUAACAGCUCUUAUGAGGAGCAGUCUUGCCAUAGAAGACUGAAAGCAUGUAAGAUUAACUUCUUUGUGACCAAUAUGACUUGCUCAUUGAUACAUUAGCUAUGUCAAUAUGAGAUGCAUGGCGAAGUAUUUAAUUUAUUUGUCUCUCUUCUAGGAGCUGUAGAAACAACAGGGUGCCUGCUGCAGUAUGACGAGGACGCCCUGAUCAUAGAAGGUCCAGUGUCUUGGCAGGGUGAAAUGGCACUGAUAUCGUGUCCUGCAGGAUGCUGUGUCCUGCAAUCCUGUGUGCUGUGCUACAGACGCGUGUGGAGGUCAACCCGAAAUGGGCACAGUAGAGUGAAAGAGGAUCCUGGCAGGGAGACGGUAGUGUCCUGCAGGAUGGUGAUGGGCAAUCUUACAAGAGACCACAGAAAACUGAUAUAGUCUCCCAGAAGUGAGACUGAGUGCUUGUUGCAGUAUGACGAGGAAGCAGUGACCAGAGACCUUCAGUAGACCCUGCUGGCAUGAUUGGCGGCUGAAGAACAUAAUCAACAGCAAUGUUUACUUUAUAAUAUUGUACAUACCUGUAUAGUCUGCACUAAAAUGCUGUACCUGUACUAUUUUUCCUCUUACUUUAAUAUUUACCACGUAUUUACUAUGAAUUGACAACUUUUACUCAAAUCCAUUUUUGUAUGUGCCCUGACUAAAACUAUCCUUAAACCUAACCUGUCAGAGGUGUAAUAACAACCUGCUCUUAGCAAUGUGGCAGCAGUCUACUUGGAUGCAGCGGGGAACAUAGAACCCUUUUUUUGAAAAAGCAUUGUAUGUUUCUGAGUUUUAUGAAUUGUGCCCUUCCCAAACCUAACCUGUCGUAGGGGCCUAUGAAAUCCGUUUUAUUUUUCCUCAUUCAGUUUUUUUCUGAUUUAUUUUUUGCCAAAUUGUUUUUUUUUUUUUUUUUACAUUUUUGAACUUAUUUUCCCCUUUCAU
Molecule: long non-coding RNA, 1708 nt
Organism: Engraulis encrasicolus (European anchovy)
Lineage: Eukaryota; Metazoa; Chordata; Actinopteri; Clupeiformes; Engraulidae
Exons: 5
Source: RefSeq, a predicted model, not a curated record